Molecule: ribosomal RNA, 434 nt
Filed under: uncultured bacterium
Lineage: Bacteria
Description: partial 16S ribosomal RNA
Rfam family: Bacterial small subunit ribosomal RNA
Source: RNAcentral
AGCGAACGCUGGCGGCAGGCCUAACACAUGCAAGUCGAACGAACCUUUCGGGGUUAGUGGCGGACGGGUGAGUAACACGUGGGAACGUGCCUUUAGGUUCGGAAUAACUCAGGGAAACUUGUGCUAAUACCGAAUGUGCCCUUCGGGGGAAAGAUUAAUCGCCUUUAGAGCGGCCCGCGUCUGAUUAGCUAGUUGGUUGAGGUAAUGGCUCACCAAGGCGACGAUCAGUAGCUGGUCUGAGAGGAUGAUCAGCCAUAUUGGGACUGAGACACGGCCCAAACUCCUACGGGAGGCAGCAGUGGGGAAUCUUGCGCAAUGGGCGAAAGCCUGACGCAGCCAUGCCGCGUGAAUGAUGAAGGUCUUAGGAUUGUAAAAUUCUUUCACCGGGGACGAUAAUGACGGUACCCGGAGAAGAAGCCCCGGCUAACUUCGUG